UACGGAGGGUGCAAGCGUUAUCCGGAUUCACUGGGUUUAAAGGGUGCGUAGGUGGAGUGGUAAGUCAGUGGUGAAAUCUCCAAGCUUAACUUGGAAACUGCCGUUGAUACUAUCAUUCUUGAAUAUCGUGGAGGUAAGCGGAAUAUGUCAUGUAGCGGUGAAAUGCUUAGAUAUGACAUAGAACACCGAUUGCGAAGGCAGCUUGCUACACGAUCAUUGACACUGAUGCACGAAAGCGUGGGGAUCAAACAGG
This 253-nucleotide ribosomal RNA is filed under the name uncultured bacterium. Its description in RNAcentral is "partial 16S ribosomal RNA". It matches the Rfam family "Bacterial small subunit ribosomal RNA", at positions 524 to 776 of the family's 1533-position model. The record is from RNAcentral.